UGGGGAAUAUUGCACAAUGGGGGAAACCCUGAUGCAGCGACGCCGCGUGAGCGAUGAAGUAUUUCGGUAUGUAAAGCUCUAUCAGCAGGGAAGAAAAUGACGGUACCUGACUAAGAAGCACCGGCUAAAUACGUGCCAGCAGCCGCGGUAAUACGUAUGGUGCAAGCGUUAUCCGGAUUUACUGGGUGUAAAGGGAGCGCAGACGGAGUGGCAAGUCUGAUGUGAAAACCCGGGGCUCAACCCCGGGACUGCAUUGGAAACUGUCAAUCUGGAGUACCGGAGAGGUAAGCGGAAUUCCUAGUGUAGCGGUGAAAUGCGUAGAUAUUAGGAGGAACACCAGUGGCGAAGGCGGCUUACUGGACGGUAACUGACGUUGAGGCUCGAAAGCGUGGGGAGCAAACAGG
This 404-nucleotide ribosomal RNA is filed under the name uncultured Ruminococcus sp. Its description in RNAcentral is "bacterial SSU rRNA". It matches the Rfam family "Bacterial small subunit ribosomal RNA", at positions 355 to 776 of the family's 1533-position model. Lineage: Bacteria; Bacillati; Bacillota; Clostridia; Eubacteriales; Oscillospiraceae. The record is from RNAcentral.